UACGUAGGUGGCAAGCGUUGUCCGGAUUUAUUGGGGUUAAAGGGUGCGUAGGCGGCCAAUUAAGUCAGUGCUGAAAUACUCUAGCUUAACUAGAGGGGUGGCAUUGAUACUGAUUGGCUUGAGUGAAGUCGAGGUAGGCGGAAUUGACGGUGUAGCGGUGAAAUGCUUAGAUAUACGGAGGAACACCUGCGGCGAAGGCGGGUAGCUGGGCCAACACUGACGCUGAGACGCGAAAGCUAGGGGAGCAAACGGG
This 253-nucleotide ribosomal RNA is filed under the name uncultured bacterium. RNAcentral describes it as "partial 16S ribosomal RNA". It matches the Rfam family "Bacterial small subunit ribosomal RNA", at positions 524 to 776 of the family's 1533-position model. The record is from RNAcentral.